RNAcentral lists this long non-coding RNA (18575 nucleotides) under Coffea arabica (coffee). RNAcentral's name for it is "long non-coding RNA (CARA_LNC004636)". Lineage: Eukaryota; Viridiplantae; Streptophyta; Magnoliopsida; Gentianales; Rubiaceae. The record is from RNAcentral.
CUGUUUGGUUGACCAUUGGAAGUUCACUAGAAGUUAUUGGAAGGUUGACAGCAGUGGCCAUUGCCCAGUUGGUCAGUGAAUGGAGAAAAGAAAAGAGAACAGAAAAUGUAAAGACAGAAAGGGAUAACACACACUAGGCUGUAAUAGGAAUUCCAAUUAAUACUUGUUUGCACCCAAAGGCAAAUGCAAUUUAUUUGUCAGAUGCCUGAAUGGCCAAAUCCAAUAUUGUUCACAACCAUCCUGGUCAAAUUACUCAAAUCCUGACCAGGCAUGUUAGAGAAAUUGGAUUUGGGCAUAAUUGACACCUCUUAAUUCCUAGGCUUGGAAAUCCUCGGAUUACUAGGUGCUUCUAUCAUUUUACUAGAGAUAGAAUAGGAUAUAUAGGUCAGAUAACUCUUGCAAUAGUCAUUCGCCGCUUGAGUCUGUGCAGUUAUGCUGUAGUUUGACUGGAAAAUUCAGGGAUUGACGGCUAAACUCAGAGGAUUAUUGUGUUUAUGUUUGUUCUUGAGAUUGGACAUAUUCUCAUGCUUCCUAUCAAAUCCAAAUUCAUCCAUAAUAUUUUUCAUGGGGGCAAGAUUCCUCCAUAAUGUGAGCAAUGAGACUCCAACUUAUCAGAGCCGUUAGCCUUGAAGUCUAUGCACUGGUUUCUGUUAUAUUACAGCAUUCUUUGCCUCUGCUAUUUCUACUCUUCUCAGUAACAUGUUUGAGUUAUGAACUCUGCUGCUGUUUUAUGCCUUUCGUCUACUGUUCAGGUAGCAUCUAGACCACAGGAGUAACAUGAAUUUAAAUUUAUCUAUCCUAUUAAUUUGUGUUUCUAAUCAGAGUUACCCAUCAGGGCUUUUUAAGCUGAUUAUAGAUGGGAACUCUGGAAUCCUGUCUGUAGCCUUAUCAUAUCUGUGUCAUUAAACGUUUUGUGUUUAAUGAAGAAAUUCAGCUGAAAUCAAUAUGAGAAAUAUUUAUCUGCAUUUUAAAAGAUGAUUUAUGAGAAAUAUUUAUCUACAGAUAAUUAUUGCUUCUUAAACAAGCACACCACAAAUAUAAAUUAAUCAUCAAAUUGAAUCUCAGGAAACUUUAUUUUACCAUGGAGAGGUAUAUUAGCUAAAUGGUAAUGUGAAUUUUCUUGGCUGCUGAGUUCAAUUAAAAUUUCUCAUUUUUUUGUGUUCCAAAAUGUUCUUCCAUGCAACAUAAGUUUAUGAGAUUCUUAUGCCUAUAUCAAGAAAUUCUGUCCUUGGGGAAAUGCGAAAAACUAGUUGCUUGCGAGGACAACAAUUUGUACUAAACUAGCAAAGAAGAAAAGUUUACAUGUUAAAGCAAUGAAGUUGAAUUUCAUUUUGUGUUUACGAAUAUGAUUAAACAGUGGAUGGUGCUUUUGCACCCAAAAAUUACUAAGCGGUGGAAGAAAUUCUUUGUGUGUUCUUUGGUCAAUGAUACUAGUAAACAAGUUUAACUUGUCUUUUUUCUUGGGUUUAAUUAUAAUAGCUCACUUAAUGGUUUUGGGACCUACUAGAUAUUUCGAGUAAGAUUGGGAUAUUCAAACAUGAAACAAUCAAUAAGAGACAAAAUAAAUAAAUUAAUAAGAGUACAAUUUCAUUGUCUAAAUGAGCACACUUUCUAGGAACAAUUUCACCAUGUAAUAUUGAAGUUAGUCAUCUCUCUUUUAUUUUGUUGCAAGUGUGGUAAUUCAAAGAAAUAGAUAAAUAAAAGUACCGUAAAUAUAAUAUCACCCAUCGAUGAGAGUCUUUUUUCCUAGAAAUGUAGGUGAAAUAUAACGGUAGUUAUUCUUAAAAUUAGAACAGAUCCUUUUUUGGUUUUUUUUUUUCAAAAAUUAUCGUAGCAUUUUUAUUGGUAAAUAUAACUUCAAGAUAAAUAAAUGAUUGAAACUUUUCAAGAAUAUAUUAUCAAAAAAACAAUGUGAAACAAAGGAAACCCUAGUGUAUGAAAAGAAUCAUGAACUCAUUGUGGGCGUGUCCAUAGAGUAAUUCACAAGCCAAUAUCUGGCCAACACAUAAACGCACGCAUGAACACAUAAAUCCAAACCAAAAGUUUAGAAACCUGUCCACUUUUUCUCAUGAUUUUAUCAUCAAGACAACAUUAACUGAUUGUGUUAUUUCUUGGUUUUUUUUUUUUUUAUCUGAAAACACAUUCUACUUUCUCAUACUAUCAAGUUAUUAAUAAUUAUGGGACGAAAGGAACAUGCUCAAUAAAGUGGAUAGAAAGGUCUGUCAACGAAUCAAAUACUGACCACUAAACGUGAAAGAUCUGUCAGAAUUGCUGGCCUGCCCAGUUCACAUUUCAGCAAAUGCUAGCCACUAAAUGUGAAAGAUCUCUCAAAAUUGCUGGCCUGCUCAGUUCACAUUUCAGCAAAUUGUGAUGUAGAAAUCAAGAGAUUCAGUUUUUUUUUUUACAAGAAAACUCGCAACUGCUAUCCGAGAGUGCACGUUGGGUAAAUCCCGUCCUGUGCAAUAGCCCACCAAUCAAACGGAGGAGUAAGACGUAUUAGGCAAAUCCUGUGUAACGGAUAGAUGUCCCAAUAGAGGUUCGAACUCGGAUUGGUAGGAAGACAUGACAUUAACUCUACUAUUUCGACCAAGUCAAGGGACAUCAAGAGAUUCAGUCUAACACAAAGUGGUCAUGAAAACAACCGCACACCUUCAUUGUCAUCUUGCUGGAAAGUCUCGAAGAAAAACAAGAAGAAUUGGUUCAGUGGGGACUUUAGUCCAAAUAUUUCUUUAAUUGUGAGACUCACGGGCUAUCACAAUUGAAGUGGCGGUGUCAUCUUUUCCAGCACAUGCAUCCAUGGGCAGAACAGAUAUGGAGGUUUUGUUCUUUUUUGUUAGGUUAUCAAUUAUUUGUUUCAGUUUUACGUAAGCAAUGAUGUCAUCUGAGUACCUUAAUUUCUUCCUCAAUCUAUUAUUGUGUGAGGAAACGAGACCGACUACUUCUCUAGAAGGAACAGAUAUAGCUGUUUUAUGCGUUAAGAAGAAGAAAAAGAAAAACGUCUUUGAAGAUGAAAAGUAAUUUUUUUUUGUCAAAAAAUAAUUGCUUCCAUAUAAAAUUUAACGCCAAAUAUUGUUUUGAGUUGCUCAAUAUAUUUUUUUUUUUUUGGACAAACCCGUAUAUUGGGGAUGAAGGCCAGACUAUGUUUUGUUAAAGUCUUGAAUAGAUAAAAGUUGAAUUAGGAGUUGCAUGCAAGUUUUGAACUUUCUUUCGGUUGGUUCUACUUUGGGUCUAUACACAAAUUUCAAAGCUGAAAGAGUUGCUUUAAUAAGCAGCACCAAGGUAUAUUUUAAGGAAACUCGAGUGCCAAAUACAGCAUUUGCUGAAUAUCUCUAAUUUUAAUUGUAAUACUACACAUUCAACUUUCUAGUACAAUUUUACACAAUUCUACUCAUUUUAUCAACUUUCUAGUACAAUUUUACACAAUUCUACUCAUUCAGGCUAGUAUUAUAUGAAUAAAAAGUAAUAAUUCGUAACAGGUCAAUUUUUUUGUAUACACUCACAUUUAUUGUAUCUUGUAUUUAAAUAGUUUCAUGAUUUAAUGUAGUUUUUCAAAUAAACACUAUCUAACCAAUGGCCAUUGGAUUCUUUCAUCCGCACCUUAUAUGAAAUUUUAAACAAUAUUGUCCUUUUGAAUUUCGCCAAUAGUUUUGUUUUGGACAGGAGAUUAUCUGAAAUAUUAUUUGGAAUAAUUACUGUAUCAUUUUUUGUGAUGUGAUGUAUGUGAGAUAAAAAGGUGAUUGAGAAGAUAAAAAGGUGUGUUGAAAAUUGCAAACAAAUAAUUUUUGACCAAAUAAUGGCUAUCCAAACAAACUUGAGGCUUUGAUAGAAUGGAAAUGUUUUUGUUUGAGUUCUAGAAAAUAGAAAACAGACUAAACGGACCAUAGUCGAGGUAUACACGUAAUGCAUAGGUUAAAUUCAGAGGAUCCAUCAGAAAAAUGCAAUUAAGGGAACCCUGCCAAGCUGCCACUUCAGUGUUCAUAAAUUUGCUCAUUCAUCUCAAUUAUUUGCUGCAAGAAUUGAUUUUUUUUUUUUGGGAUUUUUGUCUUUUUCUUAUUGUCCUACCAGUUUUUGAGUGAAUUCAUUUCCAAGGGUCAAUUGAACAUUGUUAAAAUCUAACUUUGUAGCUUGUCAAGUCAGCACAGAAAAAAGUGACUUCCUUUAGGGAGAACAAGAAUCCGUAGGCCAAAGGUAAACAAUCCAGGCACAUGUAAACAAAGGAUCUUAAUCUAAGCUAACACAAUUAACCAAAUCAACCAAUAGAAAAUUCCUAAUUGUAGAGCCUUAUCUUUAACUAUCAUCUGAUUUCUAGUUUAGUCCCUAAAUUCUAGAUUGGAACAAUUUAGUCCCCAAAUUAUACUUUGAUUCCCACGUUGAUCUCUAAAUUCCGAAUCGGGACAAUUUAAUCGCCUAACUAUACUACGAUUCUCAAUUUGGUCCCUAAACUUAUUUGUUCCCUCUAAUCUUAGGAUUUUCUUUUGGGUUAUCGUUUAAUCCUUGUUACUGCUCACUUGACUUGUGUUUCGUUAGUUUUGGGAAUUCCAUUAAAUAAUUGUCUUUAGUUGGGAUGAUAUAUGUAAUUUAGAGGCUAAAGUGUCCCAAUUUCUAGUCGAGAGACUAAAGUGAAAAUUGAGGUAUAAUUGAAGGAUGCAAAACAGAAUUAACGCAAUCUUUUAGCUCGGAGUUGAAUGAUUACAAUGAUCCGACAUUGCUGUUGUAUUGCACGUGAUACAUCUGUUCUUGGUAGAAGCUUUUCUUAAGCAAUGGAUUAUUUAAUUAAUUAACUCAUACCAGUCAGUAUCAGGAAAGCAACAAAGAUAGGGGAUUCAAAUUAAAGGGGAAAACAACAAAGAUGAUAACAAUUAAUGGCACAAAUGUCCAUAAAAAUGACUAAUAUAUUAAUCAAUAGACAGCUUAGGGAAAAACAAACAAAUUAAGGACCGCAAGAGAGAAGAAAAGGGAAAACAAGGCCAUUGGAGUUAGUAAAUGAUUUGAAUGAUCCAAUGUAUGUUCUUACAACACUUGGAAUAGGUUCCCAAUGUUUGGAAAUUGAACUAUUUUUGUCACUAAAGUUUCACUGAAAUAUAUGUAGUACCCAUAAUUUUAAUUUUGACCAAUUAGUAUAAUUGAUGCCAUUGUCCUACACCACAUCCAUUAAUAAAACAAGAAAAAGUACGGAAUAUUGCUAAUUUAAUUCCCUCAAGUUUUUAUCUAAAGUAUCUUUAUUUUGUGAUCUUUUAUUUUAUCCUAUUUAGUCCUUUCACCUUUUUUUUUCUAAUGCUAAAAUAGUCCUUUAUUCACUAAAUCCACCAGUGAACUUUUUCCAACUCGAAAUCCAGCGUCGUGAAAGGGUGUGAUCAAAACUAAUAAAUGAUUCUCUUUCCAAAAAAAAAAAACUUUACUUUCUUCUUAUUUGUCUUUUUAUAUGCUAUGUAGUUUCUUUCUUUCUUUUUUUUUUUUUUUUUACUUUCUUCAACUAUUUUUGCUACUUUCUUUUGAAACUACAUAAUUAACGAGUUUAACACACUAACAAUGUUAUAUUAUUAAAAUGAUAAAGUAUAUUAUUUCAAAUUUAAAAUUUGAUGCAAGAGGCUUAAAUCUUCCCCUAUAGUUUUAUUCUUGAUGAAAAUUACAUAUUUACCCUUGCAUGUGCAUGGGGUUGGGUACCUGCGUUCCGGCCUGCUCUCAUACUCUAUUCAACAACGUGUACGGUUAUGAUCAAAGCUUCAAAUACUCUCUUUUGAAAAAUAAUAAUUCUCAAUUAUUUUUUUAAUAUCUCUUCCUUUUCUUUUUUUUUUGAAAAAAAUUUCUUGAACUAUUUCUCAUAAAUGAAGAAAUCAUAUAAAAAAAUAAAAUGCAAAAGUAGUUGAUGAAAGUACCAAAGCAAAUUACAUAAAAAACAAAAAGAUGAGAAGAAAGUAGAAUUUAUUUUUUUCUUUGAAAGAGAAUAGUUGAAGUUUUAUUUAUACCCUUUAACACCAUAGGUUUGGAGGAAAAAGUUUCCGGCCGAGGAGGAACAAUUUUGUUACUAGAAAUAAAGUGAAAGGACUAAAUUGUAUACCUGGAACUAAAGCUUCUUUAGAUUAAAAAGUGCAAGGACUAAUAGAGCUAUUUGCACCACUUUUUCUUGUUUUAGUAACAUGAGUGUUGGUAGAUAAGGUCCAAGUGGAAGCAAAUAGCGUCAAUUGUCUCAAACUUCUUCAAAAAGAGAUAUUGUAGGUACUAAAUGUGUUUCCAGUGAAACUUUAGAUAUGAAAAUGGCCUAAAUCCCAAAUAUUGGGGGACAAAAAACGUUAUUUUCCUAACACAUAAUUUAUUAGAAAUUUGUUGCACAAAUUUAAAGCAUGUUUUUUUUAACCUUGUUUUUGUUACAAGUGUGACGAAGCGAAGGAAUAAAGUAAAGUAAUUUACUUUUUCCUUUACGUGUGUUUGUUUUGUAGGAGUCACAAAAUUAUUUGGCACUUUUCCUCAGUUUCCUUUAUUUUCUGUCCUACAAAAUUUAAAAGAUUUUAAAGGAAAAAUGUUACUAGCGAAUAAAAUUCUCCAAUACUGCCACUAACCAUCUAUUUUCUCUUGUUUCCUUGUCAAACAAACAUGAACAGGAAGAUAUAUUUUCUUUCUUUUACCUCACUUUCUCAGGUAGUAAUCCAUCUAGUCAAAAUAGAGUCCAUGCUUCGAAAAUUUAAAAGCUAGUAUUUUCAAAAACACUACAAUCAGUGGAGAUGUAGAAAAUAAAGAUCGAAGAUGCAAAAUUGGUACAUUCGUAAAACAAUUGAGAGGCCACAUUAAAAUUCUCUUAAGUAUCUUUAUGAAAUUAUUCAACCAUAAUUAAAGAAAUUCUUUACAAAAAAUAAGGAAGGAAGUAACUAAACAUCUUGGCAGAUAUACCCCAACUUAGAACUCAAAAUUAAAAUAAAUAAACUGGUCUAUUUUCCCUUUACAAUUUUGGUUUUUUCCAGCUUCAAAAAGCCAACAGAAACUGAGGAAACUGGUUGUUGAGAAUAUCACAUAACAAAUUGCUCUACACCGCAAGCUAAAACAAGGUUUAAAAAGCUGAGAAGAAUUACAUGAAAUUUUGACAUUGAACUUCAGAUGUUACAUAAAAUAUCAUGCGGUCAUCCAAAUUUGCUCCAUUGCCAUGUCUUAGAGCUAUAGAUAUUGGUAUCUUUGUCUACGGCUAGUAAUAAUGGUCUCCGUCACAAUUGAUUGUGGAGUAUUCAAGUCGCAUUCAUCAACUACAAGGGCCUUUACACUUGGAGAAUGGAGGCAGGGCAAGAGAGUUAGGAUAGGAUGGGGAUAGUAGAUGCAUGCUGAGGAUAUUUGGUAUCACAUUUCAAUUUACUUUUUCCAAUUGUGCAUGCUCUUAAUAAAGUGAAAAUGAUAGUAAUUAUCUGUCCAAAAAUUAUUUACUUACAUCACAAGCACAUCGUCCAAUACAAAAUUUUAUUUUUUCAAUCACUUUUUUAUCUUAUAUAUAUUACAUUAACAGAAGUACUAUAAUAAUUAUUUCAAAUAAUCUACUAUCCAAAUAGUAGAAAAUCCAACACAACGUGAUGGAGUACUAUAGGGGAAGGAAUUUAUACGUUGUCAUUGAGUUGCCAAACAUGGCUAAUUAAUUGCCUUGCUAACUGUGUGAUUAAGGAUGAUAUAGUGGAAAUGACUCCCAAAAGAAUUUCUCGAAGAAUUUGAGCUAGUCUUUGACUGCAUAAAGAACUAAGACAUGUUCUAGUAAGUUGCAGUCAAGGACAUGUUACUAAUUGACAAAGUUCUAGAAAGGCUACUAAUUAUAUACUUGAUCCUUCUAUAAGAUUUUAGGGAUUGCUCAAAAGAAAAGAAGGUAUUAUGUGAAAAUUAAUUAAAUGUGCUUUUAAGAAUGACCUAAAUGGAAUUUCUUCAAUGUAAACAUCCAACUUAUUAACAUAUUGUACUAAUGGACCAUUGAACUGCGCAAAUCUUUUGUAAAUAUAUUCUAAGAUUGUGUCAAGGCUCGCCAUUGUAAGUCUACUGCAUUAAAUACAUUAAAUAGAGUAAAUGGUACGAAAGGUCAUUAACUUUUCUAAAAUUGCACUAUUUGGUCAUCAAAAAAUUUUCUUUUGUAGCCAAAAAUGACACCGAACUCAUAAAAGCAUGAUUUUUAAGUCACUGCAUUGAAUUUUAGUAUUAAAACAGCCGGACUGUACACACAUAAUAGUACGCUUAGGUAUUUAGGGGUAAAGAUCUCUUAUAACAUUCAGCGCAAGGUUUUCUCUCACAAACUGUUCUAGAAAUGUUAGAAGUAACUUCUUACCUUAUUAUAAAACCUAAUUGGAAGAUAUAAAGGAGCCUUCUAAUUAGGUUUUAUGAUAAGGUAUAUAGCAAAUUAUUUUUAAUUUUAUUGAUGCAAUUUGCGAUAGAAAAUUCUGCGCUAAAAGUUAUAAGGCAUUUUUGCUCUCGAAAAUCUAAUCAUGCUUGUAAUGUGGAUGCAUUUCCAAAUGUUUCAACACCGAAAUUGACAGGAUGACCAAAAAAUUACUUUUUACAAGUUCAAUGACCUUUUUGGUGAAGAAAAAAAAAACUUCCAAACAGUGCAAUAUUAAAAUGUUGAGAUAUAUUUUGAACCAUUUAUUACUUAUGGCUUAUGACCAUUAACCUUUUGAAAUGCAUCAUUGUGCUAAUAUGCACUUAUUGUAAAGCUUGGGGCCCUUGCCCUUAUACUGUAUAGUUUUGCUAAAGAUAUAAAAUCUCCUGACAUUUUGGUUAAAAAAAACAUAGAUGGAAAUUGAAAUACACUGGAACUAAAAGAUUCCUCCUAGAUUGAACUGUUUAUUAGAUUUCGAAAAGACAAAGGAAUAUUGACAACCAAAAUGAAAUUACAUCUUGGCAUCUAUGUAGACUACGAACAUGUUCAGAAAUUUGACCUUUAUUCAUUGAACUGUCCAAAUAGAUGGGUUAUAAUUCGAGAAUCCAAAGAAAAUAGUGAGGCAAAUUGACAGAAAACCUUUGUGAGAUUCCAUUUUAGAGUUCUAUAAUAAUCGUCAUAUCCCCAAAAAAAAAAAAAACUAAAAACAAAAGGGAAAGCAUACUGCGAGAAAUUCGUGUUCGCAAAAUGAAGCAGUAGAUGCAGUUCACUUGGCUUUUUGCAAACUUAAAAAGGGUCUGUUAAUCUGUACAAGGAAAAAUUUUCUUUUGAAAGCAUUAAAUGAACAAAGUAAUUUUACAACUUAAUAAUUUGAAAAUUUUACGUAAGUAGAUUAUUUCACCUAUUAUCUUGUAAAAUAUUAACUCAAAAUCAUCGUAUUGAUUGUUUGUUUAUGGAUUUUUUUGACCAAGAAGAAUGAAAAGAUUUCAUUCAAGUAAAACAUUUCUACUGAUGUGCUUAAGAAAUGAUGGAUUUUACUCACGAUACUAUUUUGGAAAGUGGUCUUCCUCCACGCAAAUUCAAUAAUUCAACAAUAUUCUAACUGUUAACCCAUAAAUAUAGGAUGAACAUUAACACUUAAUCAGAACAAACUCAAAUACACUGUGAUUUGAAUUCCAAAUCCAAUUUCUGCAAUAUCUACUUUGGUUAUUUUACCGCUAGAUAAAAGCCAAAGACGUGAUUUGGAUUGCAUUUUCUAAAUUUUUUUUAAUAAAAAAUUGCUAUAACACUUUUGAGAAUAUAUUAUAUGAGAUAAAAAAUAGUAUUUAAAAACAUGUAAAAUAAAUAUUGAUGAAAAAUGAAAAAUUUAUGGCAUGCAAAUUCAGAUGCUAGAGUUGCUAGCUACUAUAAAUAAAGAUAACUGGUAUUUUUCUUUUCUUGUCUUUUUUGUUUAAUUUUUUUUUACUUUCGGUGCGAAAAAGACUUCCCUAUUAUCUUGAAAUGACACUAUGAUUUGAUUCACGGAGACAGUUUAAUUAUGCAUAAACCUACUAAAUGACAAAGAAGCAAAAGGCAUAAGUCAAGCCGCAAAAAAUAUGUCCCACCCACGAUGUCCUUAUGCUUCUUAUAAUACUCUCUAAUUACUAAUAAUCAGUGGACAAGAUUUGACAGCACUGAUAUCUUCCGAUCUUUUGAAGGCUAUACUUAGCAGUUUGACAGACAUUUGUUAAUCUUUUUUAGCAUGUAACCAUAAUUAAGGAUUGAUUAAUUUUAUAGUUGCACCAAAUAGAGAUGGACUGAAUGGUUACUAGCCAACUACUAGCUCAUUCAGCCACUUUCGAUCUCGAACUCUCGUAGAAUAAUUUAAUUCCAAAUCCCAUUAAUUAUAAUGUCUAAGAAAGCAUGAACAUGCUAUCUUUAAUGUGUUUUCAUUCAAGAACAAAGCUUGUUAAACAUAUAUUUUGGGCAUCCAUUUAGAAUUCUAAGGCACAAAAAUUAGUAGAGCUCUAAUUCUAAUUCUAAUUUUACCACAUGAUAAAACAAUAGUAUUUUCAUACUAUACUAUAACUAUUCUACGUCCUAUAUAUUACAAAAUUCUUUAUUAUAUAUAAGAUGAACCAAGGUAGCACAAAAUUUGUAAUCCAAUUCAAAACCUCGAAAAGUAUGGUGACGAAGACUUUUUUUUUUUUUUUUUUGGGGGGUAAGCUGGUAACGAAGAAGUAAAUCUUAGAUCAGAAUUAUUACCUAUUUAUUCAUCCACUCUUGAACCAAAGAAUCCGAAAAUCCUAAUAUGCCAUGGAGGAUAAGACACAUAAAUAGGUAGAAUGUCUAUGUCUCAAUUAUAUUAGCUUUAGAAUUUUAAUUGGGCUCUCUCAAUUGGACCAAGUGUAAUAUGGAAUUGAUCCAAAAAAACCAUUUACGUAGCCCAGCAAGGUCAAAAUUUCAGCUUUUCUUUUUAAUUUUUUAAUUAUUUUUUAAAUGUUGUAGUUUGGUAAUUAUGUGAACAUAAGAUGCAGUGUAUUAACCGUCAAAAGGUUUUAAAUUAGAAAAAUGUCUAAUUAUAAACUCGCUUGGAACAAGAAUUCACAACAUAAACUCCAUCAAACGAAGCCCGUGACACUGAAACCUCAAUCCAAUUUAGUCUUAACUCAUUGGGAAAAAUGGUUUUAAAUUAAAAAAAUGUCUAAUUAUAGAGGUCAUAAAUGCGAGUUCUUAAGCUUAGAUGAUAAAUUGUACCUCAAUUAACUAAACUAACUAGCAGUUCCUAUUAAGUAACGAUUUCCACCAAUCUCAUUAAUAAAUUUGUUAUCUUUUUCCCUCAAAAAACCAGCAAUUUCAGUUGUGAACUGUGUGAAUUGAGAUGUCAAUUGAGGUAAUUAAUAGCAAUUUGUGAUUAAUCAUGGCAGCAAAUGAAGCAUGUGACAAAUUUGCGGCCACUGGUUUUCAUGCAAACAUGAUCACGUACCUGACCAAAGAGCUAAACUUGCCUUUAGUCAAAGCCUCCAAUACUCUCACAAACUUUGGUGGAACCUCCAGCUUCACACCCCUUAUUGGUGCUCUAAUUGCCGACUCCUUUGCUGGCCGAUUUUGGACUAUCAUUGUGGCUUCCAUCAUUUAUGAACUGGUCUUCUUGAUCUCUACUCUCUGAUAUUUUGCUUUUCAUCAGUCCGUUUGUAUUUUUUUUUUUUUACUCUUAUUGAAACUUACAGAAACAAAAUUAAAAUGGGGUGUUUGUGGAAAACAAAUGACAAUAUAAUUAAAAGUGAGACAGGAAGUGAGAUAGGAAAUGGAAUAAUAAAUUCUUUGCGAGGUGUAGGGGAUGAUAAAACUUUUAGUUUGGCCGGUAGAGUUUCAAACUUUUACUUUAGCAAGUAGAGUUUUUUUUUUGGUGAUAAAAUGAUAAUUUCAUUCAUAAAAGUUUAAAACUGCACUAACAGGCAAACAAAGUGUAUAUUCAUGCAAUAAAAGGUUUAGCCAAAUUUAAAGAGGGAUUCAAGUGAUCCUCGACUCCAUUCACUUGGAAAUUCUAUUUGACAAUAUAUAUAAACAAUACGGCUGUUUAAUUUAAAAUUAGGAAUGUAAAGGUAAUGUGUAGAAAAGGGAGGCGGCAAUGGUACGAGUUAUGUUAAAUUAGUGGUGCAUGUAAAUACAAUUCAAGAUAGAAUUUUCUGAAUUUAAUCAUUCCUAGCUCCCAAAAAAGGAAAUAAGUAUUUGUGUAGGAGUAUAUAAUUUUUAAAAAUUUCCCUUGAUAACUCUUGCAUAAAAACAGAAACUUUUGGACAAACAAUAACUUUAAUACAUGAAAGUAAUUUUUUUUUUUAAUCUUGGGGCAGCUGUCCCUCCAACCAUGCAACUGCAUCACUGAGCUAUGCUUGAAUAGGUGUUAGCAAAAACCACUUCGCUCGUAAUUUCACAAUUCUUUGUCAUGAUAGGGUAUGGUGUGUAUUACUACUUCAGCAGUGCUGCCACAACUACAUCCUCCUCCAUGUCCGACUCAACAAAACUGCAAAGAGGCCUCAAACACUCAGCUUUGGGUCCUAUAUAUUGCUCUCCUCUUGACAUCUUUAGGAACUGGUGGCAUUAGGCCCUGUGUUGUUACCUUUGCUGCUGAUCAAUUUGACAUGAGCAAAUUCGCAGCUGCAUCUAGAAGCUGGAAUUUCUUCAAUUGGUACUAUUUCUGCAUGGGAAUGGCCACACUAUUGGCUCUUACAGUGGUAGUUUAUAUCCAAGAUAAUGUUGGUUGGGGCUGGGGUCUUGGAAUCCCUACAAUUGCCAUGGCUUUAUCUAUUGUAGCUUUUGUUGUUGGCGCCCCUCUUUAUAAAAAGGUGCAACCAGGUGGGAGUCCAUUGAUUAGAUUGGCACAGGUAAUUGUUGCAGCUUUGAAGAAGAGGAAUAUCGUGGCACCAAAUGACCCUAGUCAACUGUAUGAGAACAAGGAGUUAGAUGCUACUAUCUCCUCCAAUGGAAAACUUGUUCACACUAAUCAGUUCAGGUGUGCUAUACACAUUCCCUACUAUGGUAUUAUAGCAAUUUAUCUGAAUACUGAAAUCAGCAGUUACAUGACACAAUAUGUUGGAAAUGGGAAAAAAAGACUUGGAACACAAAAAUGGUGAACAAAGUUAUGACUCACUAAAUCUUCCUCAUAUCGGUUUGCAAUUUCUUGUACUUUAAAAGAACAAAGUAGUUAAUUAGGCUUUCAUGGUGUUUUACAUAUUUUUUCUUUUAUAAAGGAAUCGUCUUACUGGUUUUAUUUAAUUAUUUUCGCUCCUUUCUUUUUCGAUGGGAGUGGAAUUAAGCAAGCUACUUUUUGUCUGGAUUUGGUAUGCUAGAAAACAGCCCAUUUUUUAUUUAAUGUAUCUGUUGAAAGUUCAGGCUUCGAGAAAAGAGUGUUAGGAGCUAAAAUUUCCAUGUAGAUUACAUUAGGAGCUGGAUGCCUGGAGAUAUUUUAUUAGAUCAAAGGUAGACUAUUUGGAAAAUGCACCUGCUAAUAGUAAUCAGGACUACAGACUUUCUAGGUUAACUACAAGCUUACUGUUAACAUACAACUGUAAACCUGUUUAGACUACUCGGUAGAACAUAUCUUCACUAUAUUAAAUGAAUUAAUUUCAUGCUUAAUGGGCUGCUCUGUUAGCAAUUGUGUUGGGACAUUAUGCAAGGGAAAGAAAAUUUCAGAAGAGAAGAAUAUAAUUUCUUCCAAUCCGAUUAGGACCCCUAACUUUAAUUGCAUACAGAGUUGAAAUACUUGGAUAUACUUUUCAUCAAUCAAAGCAAGUUAGACACUAUAACAUACUGAUGCUUUGUUGUUGAAGGUUGAUCUUCUGAAUUAGUUUCUCAUGCUGACAGAAAGUACAUAAUAGUGAACAUAUUCAGACCAGUCAAUUUCUCUGAACCUCAUUGUGCCAAUUUUCUUGUCUGAGACUAAUCUAGAUUUCUGUUGAUAUCUUUCGAUGUUCCACAACAAUUCUUGGUGCCAUUCUGUCCAUAAUUAUAUAUUGCACUCUAUCCCAGGUGGGCUGAUCGAGCAGCUGUAUUGACUGAUGAUGACAUUGAUGAAUCGAACCACCCAAAACUAUGGAGAAUAUCAACAGUACAUAGAAUUGAAGAGCUGAAAUCAGUAAUUCGAGUUUUGCCUAUUUGGGGAGCCGGGAUAUUACUAGUUACUUCCCACUCACAUCUCGGCAGCUUCACCAUCCAACAAGCUCGUAGCAUGAACCGUCAUCUAUCCCACUCCUUUGAGAUUCCUCCAGCAAGCCUGUCCAUCUUCAGUAUCAUUACUGUGCUAGUUGGUCUUGGUUUAUAUGAGCGCCUUUUUGUCCCAUUUGCUCGUCGAUUUACAGAGAAUCCUGCGGGGAUCACAUGCCUACAACGUAUGGGAAUUGGAUUCACGAUCAACAUCCUUGCUACUAUUGUUUCAGCUCUGGUUGAAAUGAAGCGAAAGGCUGUGGCAGCAGAUCAUAAUCUCUUAGACAAGCCAACUGCUACUAUACCAAUAAGUGUCUUUUGGUUGCUUCCACAGUUUUGCCUCCAUGGAAUUGCAGAGGUUUUCCAUUCUGUUGGGCACUUGGAAUUUCUUUAUGAUCAGUCCCCUGAGAGCAUGAGAAGCACAAUGGUUGCACUAUACUCCCUGGCAGCAUCAUUUGGAAAUUAUAUUGGAACAUUUGUGGUUUCAACAGUUCACAAGUAUACUGGUAUAGAGAGAAAUUGGCUACCUGAUAGGAAUCUCAACAGGGGAAGGUUGGAGAAUUAUUAUUGGCUGGUUACAGGAAUACAAGUAGUUAAUCUCAUAUACUAUCUCAUAUGUGCUUGGUGCUAUACCUAUAAACCAUUGGAAGAAUUGAUUGAAAGCAGUGAAGAUAUUGAUAUGGAGCUAGCAAACGAUAAGACAUCAACACAGGAUUCUAAGGUGAUUACUAGAGAAACAGAAUUAGCAAUACAGCAAACAUCUUAGGACGGGUUGUAUCAAUAACUAGUUAGAUGUAUUUGGUGGAAGCAUCAAUUACUUGUAUGGCUCUGCAUUGUACAUUUUAGUUCAAUCAGUGUAGUUCUUAUAAAAUGAUUCCAUCAAUUUGCCAUAACUAAGAUUACUGAAAUAGAAUCUCUGAAAAAACUGUUUCAGCUAGGCUGUUCUUUGAUAGAGUUUCUAAUUUCCUUUUAAGUGUUGGGAUCUUUCCUUUUGCGAGUUGAGAGAAGGUGCGUAUUGUAUUCGCGUCACAAAAUUCUGAUAAUUAAUUCGUUACAACUUUCAGAUGUAAAUAAUGUACAUUAUUUAAGGCCAUGUUCGGUUAGGAGUUUUGUGUUAACCAUUCAAUAUUUAUCACUUGUCUGAUAUCAUCUACAUCAUGUAUCGUAUAGUUGUUUGUUAUACUUUGUACUUAUUUUAUAGAUCUUACCCAUUGUACUCAUUUAUAGUGUAAAUAAAGAUGACAACAACCUUCAGAGUGAGCACAUUUCUUCUUCAUGGUAUCACGAGCAUUGCCAGUUCCUUGGCUUUUUUUAUUUUCUUUUUCUUUCAUCAAGAGUUCUCUUAUUAAAGAUAGUUCAAUCUCUCAGUCUACUAAAUCAUUUCUUCCUUCUCAAGUUCCACAGAUCUCCACCAUAAAGAACUCCACUUCUCUUGAAUUAACCUUCAUGAAUUUUCUUACUUGGAAGCGUCUUGUUACUACAUUUCUGAAAAGCCAAAAGAUGUUUGGUAUUGUUGAUGGAUAAAGUCUUUGUCCAAAUUCAUCAAUGAUUCAUAUGAUCUCUGGGUUCAAUGUGACACAACUGUACAUAGUUGGAUUGAUCCUACAUUUUCUCUUAAUGUUCUUGAAACACUUCUUAAUCAUGGGUGUGAAAGUGCAUGCAUAUACUGCAUGGAACACUUUGGAACGUCUCUUUCUUGAUCAUGAUGCAUCCACUAUGAUGGAUUUGAAACAUAAAUUUCAAAGCUUCACUAAAGGUGACCUAAAAGUGGAAGACUGUCUUCAACAGUUACACUUAUUGGCUUGUUCCUUCAUAACUGUCGGAAAUUCAGUAAGUUAUCUGAUGAUUAGUUAUUCAAACUCUUCAAGAACUUAUAUAUCACAAAAUCCUGUGUUCCACUCACGAACAAUGCAUAUUGCACUGCAUUAUCACUUUGUAUAUGCAAAAAUUGCUCUAGACUAUCUUCAGGUCUCUGAUAUUCCUAUUACUCGACAACUUGUUGAUAUCCUUGCUAAAAACUUCCAGCUGAUUAAUUUCAUGAACUUGCUCUAACAAAAACAACUCGAACGUGGCUUUUGGUUAUUUGUUUUCAAUUUGCUUAAUGUUCGAGCAUGUUUGGCUUUAUGUUGACAAGGGAAUACUCAGUGCAUGGAAUUAUGCUUUCAAUCUUGGAAUGACAUAGAUGAAGUUGAUUUUAUCAUUGUAUUUUAAAUUCUGUGCAUGCUGUAGAAAACUUACAGUUGUGUGUGUUGUGUUUGACCUUUUCAAGUUAUUGGGGAUGACAAAAGGAUCGUGCGCCCUACAAUUGCCGGUACAGAUAUUAAUAGAAGAAAUGUGGAUACAAAUAAUAAAUAUUAAAAACACCAGAGACUCGUAUGUUAGGUGUGGUUAACUGUUUUGUUGAAUGGACUGUACAAUUGCUGACCAAUUGCUCGGUGCAUCCAUGGAGAAGAUGUGUGUAAGUUCAUUUUUUUUGUCAACCCACAACAUCUACAAUAUUUUUAUUUUAAUUUAUAUUACAAGAGAGUUUUAGUGUCUAACUGAAUCAAUAGAAAUUAGAAGUAAAGCAACCUAUUUUCAAACUAAAAGGGUACAUUACUACUCACUCUCUACCUCCAGAUUUUACUGCAAAUGUAAAAAAUUAAACGUCGACAGUUUUUAAUGAGUACCAAAUUUUGUCAUGUUUUUACACGGUAGUGUUUUAAUAUCUGCAUUUGUUAAAUUAAUGCAUAUAUGAGAUGGUAUUACAGUAUUGUCAAAAUGGGUAUCUGCUUUGGAUCCCCCUCCCCCCUAAAAUAAUUAGCGACCAUAUUAGCUUGAGCGACAUCCUUUCUUUUCAUAUGAUAAGCUGCAAGAUUAGCUUGAGUAAUAGCAAGGGGACCAAAAUAAGACCAGCUAAAUGUGAAAAUUACAGAAUUGGGGUUUUUCCCUUUAUGUGUCAUGAUCCCUUCUGUCUUAUCGGCCCUAAUGAACACAGAAGUCAAGAAUUCCCACUUAGCAGCCUAGGUGACAGAAGGAGGGAGUGAAGUGGAUCAGCCUCAUACCUGAAUUCAAAACAAGUGAGAGACAAUUAUUUACCAAAUUUUAGGCUAGCAGCAUAAUUUUUUCCUUAAAAUACAAUGACAUGGUUAAAUUAACUUUAGAAUAGAAAUGUGUGCAAUCCUAAAUUUGGAAAAAUGGUUACCCCUAACAAUUGUUCUUGCCUUGUACCAUGAGCGUAAAUGAAGAUAUUAGGUGGUAAAUGCAAAUUUCUCUUCUUGCAUGUGGUGGUAGGGGCAGAAAAAGAGAAGGAUUGCAAGAAUGCAUGAGACCUUGAUUCUAAGGCCUACCAGUGCAUGUAUUGGUAGGUCGUGUCAUGGUUACAAGCAUAGUUUGCCGUGCUAUUCUCACAAGGAUCCACAACUUGAAAAAGCCACAAAGGGGAUUAAAAGGUUGAUUUUUCCUAGGAUGACAAUUGAUACAUUCCCAAACAACAAAAGACAUUCUUAAUUUCCUUUUAAAGCUAAAAUCAUUAACUACUAACAAGUGGGCCGUGUCUCUUUGUGCUUUUCUUCUUCUUCUUUUUUAAUAAAAAAAAGGUUUGAAUAAGUUUGGUUUGAUUAUCAGCACAAAUCAGGCAUGUACUAGAUCAUAGAUCGCUUAUAGGGGUGCUUAUAAAUUAUUCAUCAACAUAGUUUUCGCAUCGAUAGCAGAAUUCAAAUAUCGACAGUAAGAUUCAAAUACAUAUAAUCUUUUAUGAGGGAGUAAAGGGCCUCUACAAUUGCCAUUGUGGAGUCUGGUUUGUGACCUAGAUAUGGUCAUGCUCAAUUAGCUCAACCUCAACUAUUCGUAUAAAUAUUUAAAAGAAAAUUUUCUUUUCAAAAUUCACAGCUUGGAUUUAAGCCACGUUUAAAUCACCUUUAUUUGGGCAUGAAUUGUUCUCUAUUAUUGGCAAAUCACCAGCAAUUAAUGAUACUGGAUUGGAGUUGCUACCCUCAAAAUAAGUCAACAAAAUUCCAAGAUCCAACAUGUAUUGUAUACGUACUUUAAUCCCUUGAUACUUUCAAUUUCCUGCAGACAAUACUUCAGAUAUACAUAAUAUUUCCUACACAUCCGACAGCUUAAAUUUAGAAUGUACCACCAAAACCAUAUCCAAUAAAAGGAUAUCAUGAACACCUAUAGUACCAUUUCCAACUUAAAUCACACAUGCAACUUUUUCAAGCCGAUUUAUUCAGUCACAAUUGAUCAUUUCCUAAUGUGUAUUUCCUCUACAGAGUAAAUCGUACCCAAUGCUCAUAAUCAAAACUCUGAUAAUAUUAAAAAUCAUGAAAAUAUUUUAUUUCCUUUAAUCCUGUAUUUUUUUUUAUCUCAUUUCAAUACUUAAAAUCCCUAAUAUCUCCAACACUAUUUCACAUACUUUUAGAUCAUAUGACCUGAGCUCUGGUACUGCUAAAAAGUCAAAGCAAUCUCUUAUUUCUUUUGAUCUGGUUUUCCAUUUCCUUUCAAUUUUCAAAAUCAUUAAUAUCCAAACAUCAUUUCUCACACUUCCAGAUCAUAAAACCUAAACUCUGAUACCACU